GGCCUCAUAGCUCAGUUGGCUAGAGCGUUGGCUGUACUAACGCAUUCCCCUUACUGGCAUGAGUUCAAAUCCCACUGAGGCCG
RNAcentral lists this transfer RNA (83 nucleotides) under Schistocephalus solidus. It matches the Rfam family "tRNA". From Rfam's summary of the family: Transfer RNA (tRNA) molecules are approximately 80 nucleotides in length. Their secondary structure includes four short double-helical elements and three loops (D, anti-codon, and T loops). The record is from Rfam by way of RNAcentral. Lineage: Eukaryota; Metazoa; Platyhelminthes; Cestoda; Diphyllobothriidea; Diphyllobothriidae.